UGGGGUAUUUUGCACAAUGGGGGAAACCCUGAUGCAGCGACGCCGCGUGAUUUAGAAGGCCUUCGGGUUGUAAAAAUCUUUUCUAUGGGAAGAAAAUGACAGUACCAUAGGAAUAAGGACCGGCUAAUUACGUGCCAGCAGCCGCGGUAAUACGUAAGGUCCGAGCGUUGUCCGGAAUCAUUGGGCGUAAAGGGUACGUAGGCGGGUAAGCAAGUUAGAAGUGAAAUCCUAUAGCUCAACUAUAGUAAGCUUUUAAAACUGCUCAUCUUGAGGUAUGGAAGGGAAAGUGGAAUUCCUAGUGUAGCGGUGAAAUGCGCAGAUAUUAGGAGGAAUACCGGUGGCGAAGGCGACUUUCUGGCCAUAACCUGACGCUGAGGUACGAAAGCGUGGGUAGCAAACAGG
This 402-nucleotide ribosomal RNA is filed under the name bacterium. Its description in RNAcentral is "partial 16S ribosomal RNA". It matches the Rfam family "Bacterial small subunit ribosomal RNA", at positions 355 to 776 of the family's 1533-position model. The record is from RNAcentral.